UUUUGAUUACACUCGGCUCCCACCUCCUCCAACUCCAGACAUCUUUCAGAACAGGGAAAUGAGCCGGGAGUCCAGUGAUACUGCUGAUAUGAUUCAGGCCUCCUUGGGAGGAAAGCAACCGGAAGCAGAGGGCUGGCUGCUGUGCAAUGAGGUCAUCCCUUUGGCAUGCUGUCCUGGUCCUGGAGAAAGACAACAAGAGACAGAAGCUAUUUGGCUUCUUGGCUGACUCUCAAGUCUUAACUGAGGUCCAGGAAAGGUUGAGGUGUCGGUAUGGAUCCACUGUUGCCAAGGACGCAAGAACAAAACCCUUCAUUUUAAAUGCCAGUGGAAAAAUGUUCAGGAUAAAUACCAAGACACAUAAUGUGCUUUUAUUAAGGCAGCUUUUAAAAUGAGUUUUGGAAAACAGCCUUCAAGUGACUAUAAAGGUCCUCCUUGAGUGGAGGUCACUUGAGAAUUUGGCUUUGUGGACACAAACACUCCUGAACUGUUUUGGUUUUGCUGCCCUCAGGUAGGAGCCCCUGCACCUGGGCUGGACUCAAGCUCUGGGAUUACAGACAGCAAGCAAAGAAAAUGCUUAGAAGAGCAGAGAUUCAUGGUGUUCAUAGUAACUGCAGGAAGACAACAUGAGUGUAUCACAGAUGAGUCAGAAGAAAGACUGCUGGUGAAGCCUGAAGGUACGAGACCUACAAGUGGUAUCUCUUGUGGCAUGAACAAAUGUCUAUUUACUCCAGAUAAGGCACCAAUGACAUAUCAAAGAAACAAUUGCAUCAGUCUCUCUUGAUCCCUGUUGAAGACUGGCAAGUGCAAGGGAUGGAACUCUUGGUCAGGCAUGUCUCAAGGCAACUGAAGAGGAACUGAAAAUGAAGAGCUAUUCCUGCCUGGACCAUUUGUCAUCCUCAGUUAAGUGGAAUCUGCUGAACUCCCAGGGAAGCUCACUCUCUGGAUCAGAUACCACAGAACAAGUGGUUCCAUGAGAGAAGGGAAAGCUGGUAUUUACUGUGUGUGACUUAUGGGACAAAUGCAGCAUCUGAAGUGGCCAUGAGGGGCAAGACUAUUGUCUAGCCGUUUACCAUCCCUACUUCAAAGAACUACAAGGUUAAAGGUCUUCCCCAGUAUGUUCUUAUCGAUGUUGGUUUAGACCCCGCUGCAUCUGGAUUUAUCCAGCGGCAGCUAAGAGCUACUGAGAACAAUGUGAAAGACCUCCCUCCUGGCACCCAUUUCUUCAUUGAGACCCUCAGUUUCUCCUCCUAACCAGGAAUUAAAGAGUGGACAGAUGAAUUAAGGAGCAGGCUGGAGAAGAGGAGGCAGCCUUCCCAAGAGAUAGUAGGUCAGUAAAGACCCAUGACUGGCUAAGAGUUGGCAGAGGCCAUGGCCAGGAACAUAAACUUCAGCUCUAGCACUCAAGUGUAAGACCCACAGACUUGUUUAAACCCCAGAUCCUGCCCUCAAAAAUUGUCUUUACUGCUUAGACAGAUCUCUUUCCUCUGGAUAUAACCUGACCCAUCAACUUAGACUGUGUGGACCGCUCCUCCUCCUUUUCCUUUUCUUCCUCCUCUUCCUCUAUCAACAACCUUUACCAUGGAGACAAGUAUCCUGCUGAGCAAUAUUCCCUAGAUAUUUUAAAUUUGUACCAUCUUCACUAGUAC
Molecule: long non-coding RNA, 1646 nt
Filed under: Cricetulus griseus (Chinese hamster)
Lineage: Eukaryota; Metazoa; Chordata; Mammalia; Rodentia; Cricetidae
Description: lncRNA (ENSCGRG00015037587.1)
Source: RNAcentral